UCCCUGGUGGUCUAGUGGUUAGGAUUCAGUGCUUUUGCUGUUGUGGCCCAGGUUCAAACCCUGGUCAGGGAA
This is a non-coding RNA of Lipotes vexillifer (Yangtze River dolphin), 72 nucleotides long. Lineage: Eukaryota; Metazoa; Chordata; Mammalia; Artiodactyla; Lipotidae. The record is from the annotation of a RefSeq genome assembly.